GACGAACGCUGGCGGCGUGCUUAACACAUGCAAGUCGAGCGAUGAAGCUUCUCCGGAAGUGGAUUAGCGGCGGACGGGUGAGUAACACGUGGGUAACCUGCCUCAUAGAGGGGAAUAGCCUUCCGAAAGGAAGAUUAAUACCGCAUAAGAUUGUAGCUUCGCAUGCAGCAGCAAUUAAAGGAGCAAUCCGCUAUGAGAUGGACCCGCGUCGCAUUAGCGAGUUGGUGAGGUAACGGCUCACCCAGGCGACGAUGCGUAGCCGACCUGAGAGGGUGAUCGGCCACAUUGGGACUGAGACACGGCCCAGACUCCUACGGGAGGCAGCAGUGGGGAAUAUUGCACAAUGGGGGAAACCCUGAUGCAGCAACGCCGCGUGAGUGAUGACGGUCUUCGGAUUGUAAAGCUCUGUCUUUAGGGACGAUAAUGACGGUACCUAAGGAGGAAGCCACGGCUAACUACGUGCCAGCAGCCGCCGUAA
This 478-nucleotide ribosomal RNA is filed under the name uncultured bacterium. Its description in RNAcentral is "partial 16S ribosomal RNA". It matches the Rfam family "Bacterial small subunit ribosomal RNA", at positions 28 to 523 of the family's 1533-position model. The record is from RNAcentral.